AUUUAUAUAGUUUAAACAUAAAACCUUUUAUUUUCAAUAAAAAAAUGAGUUAAAACUCUAUAAAUA
Molecule: transfer RNA, 66 nt
Filed under: Aphelocheirus jendeki
Lineage: Eukaryota; Metazoa; Arthropoda; Insecta; Hemiptera; Aphelocheiridae
Description: tRNA-Glu
Source: RNAcentral